GAUGAACGCUAGCGACAGGCUUAACACAUGCAAGUCGAGGGGCAGCACAGGUAGCAAUACCGGGUGGCGACCGGCGCACGGGUGAGUAACGCGUAUGCAACUUACCUAUCAGAGGGGGAUAACCCGGCGAAAGUCGGACUAAUACCGCAUGAAGCAGGGGUCCCGCAUGGGGAUAUUUGCUAAAGAUUCAUCGCUGAUAGAUAGGCAUGCGUUCCAUUAGGCAGUUGGCGGGGUAACGGCCCACCAAACCGACGAUGGAUAGGGGUUCUGAGAGGAAGGUCCCCCACAUUGGUACUGGGACACGGACCAAACUCCUACGGGAGGCAGCAGUGAGGAAUAUUGGACAAUGGACGAGAGGCUGAACCAGCCAAGUCGCGUGAGGGAUGAAGGUUCUAUGGAUCGUAAACCUCUUUUAUAAGGGAAUAAAGUGCGGGACGUGUCCCGUUUUGUAUGUACCUUAUGAAUAAGGAUCGGCUAACUCCGUG
This 485-nucleotide ribosomal RNA is filed under the name uncultured bacterium. Its description in RNAcentral is "partial 16S ribosomal RNA". It matches the Rfam family "Bacterial small subunit ribosomal RNA", at positions 28 to 507 of the family's 1533-position model. The record is from RNAcentral.